UAAAGGGUGCGUAGGCGGCCUGUUAAGUCAGAGGUGAAAGACGGUAGCUCAACUAUCGCAGUGCCUUUGAUACUGAUGGGCUUGAAUGGACUAGAGGUAGGCGGAAUGAGACAAGUAGCGGUGAAAUGCGUAGAUAUGCGGAGGAACACCGAUGGCGAAGGCAAUCCCCUGGACCUGUACUGACGCUCAUGCACGAAAGCGUGGGGAGCAAACAGGAUUAGAUACCCUGU
This 230-nucleotide ribosomal RNA is filed under the name uncultured bacterium. RNAcentral's name for it is "partial 16S ribosomal RNA". It matches the Rfam family "Bacterial small subunit ribosomal RNA", at positions 561 to 790 of the family's 1533-position model. The record is from RNAcentral.